This 462-nucleotide ribosomal RNA is filed under the name Nocardiaceae bacterium 'ARUP UnID 486'. RNAcentral describes it as "bacterial SSU rRNA". It matches the Rfam family "Bacterial small subunit ribosomal RNA", at positions 27 to 506 of the family's 1533-position model. Lineage: Bacteria; Bacillati; Actinomycetota; Actinomycetes; Mycobacteriales; Nocardiaceae. The record is from RNAcentral.
GGACGAACGCUGGCGGCGUGCUUAACACAUGCAAGUCGAGCGGUAAGGCCCUUCGGGGUACACGAGCGGCGAACGGGUGAGUAACACGUGGGUGAUCUGCCUCGUACUUCGGGAUAAGCCUGGGAAACUGGGUCUAAUACCGGAUAUGACCAUUGGAUGCAUGUCUGGUGGUGGAAAGAUUUAUCGGUGCGAGAUGGGCCCGCGGCCUAUCAGCUUGUUGGUGGGGUAAUGGCCUACCAAGGCGACGACGGGUAGCCGGCCUGAGAGGGCGACCGGCCACACUGGGACUGAGACACGGCCCAGACUCCUACGGGAGGCAGCAGUGGGGAAUAUUGCACAAUGGGCGGAAGCCUGAUGCAGCGACGCCGCGUGAGGGAUGACGGCCUUCGGGUUGUAAACCUCUUUCGACUCCGACGAAGCGAAAGUGACGGUAGGGGUAGAAGAAGCACCGGCCAACUACGU